RNAcentral lists this ribosomal RNA (255 nucleotides) under Salmonella enterica subsp. enterica serovar Anatum. Its description in RNAcentral is "partial 16S ribosomal RNA". It matches the Rfam family "Bacterial small subunit ribosomal RNA", at positions 642 to 926 of the family's 1533-position model. Lineage: Bacteria; Pseudomonadati; Pseudomonadota; Gammaproteobacteria; Enterobacterales; Enterobacteriaceae. The record is from RNAcentral.
ACUGGCAAAGUUCAUAUAAUAGGGAGUGGGGUUAUUUACGGUAAUAACAUCACCUGCCGUCUGCCAUUUUAAUUGUUGGCUCUGGCUAUCAGGCGUUGAUUUUGUUAAUGCUGGCGGUCGAUAAAUAUCCGUAAACGAUGUCUACUUGGAGGUUGUGCCCUUGAGGCGUGGCUUCCGGAGCUAACGCGUUAAGUAGACCGCCUGGGGAGUACGGCCGCAAGGUUAAAACUCAAAUGAAUUGACGGGGGCCCGCAC